UACGUAGGGGGCAAGCGUUGUCCGGAUUCAUUGGGCGUAAAGGGCGCGUAGGCGAUUUAACAAGUCUUGUGUGAAAGCCCCGGGCUUAACUCGGGAAGUGCACAAGAAACUGUUGAAUUUGAGUUCCGGAGAGGAAGGCAGAAUUCCAGGUGUAGCGGUGAAAUGCGUAGAUAUCUGGAGGAAUACCGGUGGCGAAGGCGGCAUCCUGGACCGGCAUUGACGCUGAGUGAGCGAAAGCCAGGGGAGCAAACGGG
RNAcentral lists this ribosomal RNA (254 nucleotides) under uncultured bacterium. Its description in RNAcentral is "partial 16S ribosomal RNA". It matches the Rfam family "Bacterial small subunit ribosomal RNA", at positions 524 to 776 of the family's 1533-position model. The record is from RNAcentral.